Molecule: ribosomal RNA, 460 nt
Filed under: uncultured bacterium
Lineage: Bacteria
Description: partial 16S ribosomal RNA
Rfam family: Bacterial small subunit ribosomal RNA
Source: RNAcentral
CCUACGGGUGGCAGCAGUGAGGAAUAUUGGUCAAUGGCCGAGAGGCUGAUCCAGCAAAGUCGCGUGAGGGAAGACGGCCUUCCGGGUUGUAAACCCUUUUUGUCGGGGAGCAAAGCGAGUCACGUGUGACUCAUUGAGAGUACCCGAACAAAAAGCAUCGGCUAACUACGUGCCAGACGCCGCGGUAAUACGGAGGAUGCGAGCGUUGUCCGGAUUUAGUGGGUUUAAAGGGAGUGUAGGUGGAUUGUUAAGUUAGUUGUGAAAGUUUGCGGCUCAACCGUAAAAUUGCAGUGGAAACGGGCAGUCUUGAGUACAGAAGAGGUGAGCGGAAUUCGGGGUGUAGCGGUGAAAGGCGUAGAUAUCACGAAGAACUCCGGUGGCGAAGGCAGCUCACUGGACUGCAACUGACACUGAGGCUCGAAAGUGUGGGUAUCAAACAGGAUUAGAUACCCGAGUAGUC